RNAcentral lists this ribosomal RNA (266 nucleotides) under Dilophus febrilis. Its description in RNAcentral is "partial 28S ribosomal RNA". It matches the Rfam family "Eukaryotic large subunit ribosomal RNA", at positions 75 to 327 of the family's 3401-position model. Lineage: Eukaryota; Metazoa; Arthropoda; Insecta; Diptera; Bibionidae. The record is from RNAcentral.
UUCCCNUAGUAGCGGCGAGCGAAACGGGAUAAGUUCAGCACUAAGUCCUCUAAUUAAUUUAGAGGAGAUUCAGUGUAUGGAAAGUCUAUUACUUUAUAUAAAGAUGAUACGUUCAAGUCCAUCUUGAAUGGGGCCAUUUAACCCGCAGAGGGUGCCAGGCCCGUAGUAACUAUUAUCAAUAUAAAGAAGGCUCUUCCAAAGAGUCGUGUUGCUUGAUAGUGCAGCACUAAGUGGGUGGUAAACUCCAUCUAAAACUAAAUAUAACC